AAUCAACGCUGGCGGCGUGCCUAACACAUGCAAGUCGAACGAGAAAGGGACUUCGGUCCUGAGUACAGUGGCGCACGGGUGAGUAACACGUGACUAACCUACCCUUGAGUGGGGAAUAACUUCGAGAAAUCGAGGCUAAUACCGCAUAACACCUACGGGUCAAAGGAGCAAUUCGCUUAAGGAGGGGGUCGCGGCAGAUUAGUUAGUUGGCGGGGUAAGUGGCCCACCAAGACAGUGAUCNGUAUCCGGCCUGAGAGGGCGCACGGACACACUGGAACUGAAACACGGUCCAGACUCCUACGGGAGGCAGCAGUGGGGAAUUUUGUCGGCAAUGGGGGAAACCCUGACGCAGCAACGCCGCGUGGAGGAUGAAGUCUCUUGGGACGUAAACUCCUUUCGACCGGGACGAUAAUGACGGUACCGGAAGAAGAAGCCCCGGCUAACUUCGUGCCAGCCGCCGCUGU
Molecule: ribosomal RNA, 464 nt
Filed under: uncultured bacterium
Lineage: Bacteria
Description: bacterial SSU rRNA
Rfam family: Bacterial small subunit ribosomal RNA
Source: RNAcentral